Molecule: non-coding RNA, 1025 nt
Organism: Lepisosteus oculatus (spotted gar)
Lineage: Eukaryota; Metazoa; Chordata; Actinopteri; Semionotiformes; Lepisosteidae
Source: RefSeq, a predicted model, not a curated record
AAGCGUGUCAUGUCUGCAAAUGUUACGCAACGAUCUACAGAACAGGACGCACAGGUUCCCUGCUUGGAACAGCUUGACAGCCCAGGCGCCAUAAUGCAGAUUCAGUCCUGGUGCCCACACAUCGAGGGGAAAGGAACCCUCGUCCUCUACAAUAUAUAUAUAGAGCUUAUUAUAUUAAUAAAGUAUAAUAAUGUAAUAGCCAGGAUGCAGGUUUCUUCACUUUUAUAUGUCAGGCAGGGUGAAAGGUCAGAGGGCAGUCCUGGGUCACGCAGGCAGGGUCAGGAGGGUGGGACGUGCUGUUAGGGCUCAGGUGUUCGGGACACUUUCCACACCUGACGUCAGCCAGCUCCUGGAAAGGAGAGCUGGUGCCUCCAUCUGUGCACGGGCACAUCCGUGAGGGAUAACGUGGAAUGGAUCGGGAUGUGGUUUCAGGCUGGAAUCCCCCACUAAUCCCAUAUAUGCAAACACUAAUGAGGUGUGAAUUCCCUGCACAGCGGUCCUGUGGUCUGCAAGCAGAGCUGCCGGCUAGCUCAAGCCAGCGCAGACCUAGAGUUGUCAAUCUCCUGUAACUCCAGUACUGCCCCAACAAGCCAGCGUUCUGCACAGCCGCCCGAGCAGGCCCGGCCUUUAGGCACAGGUGCUGGGACAGCGCUGACAAUCUUGCCUCUUGCAGAUGGACUCUCACAAAAGGACACAGCAUGACGAAAAGAAUGGAAAAGUGACCCAGCACACACACAGAGAGUGGAGGUGUGUCUUUACAAACGAAGCGGCACUCUCUGCAAAUGCAAAAAAGGCCUGGGAGAAGGAAUAACACAUUUCAGGUGCUGAGCAGCUAAAUAUCAAAGUGGAGACUGCAGGCAGACUGAGUGGGAGUGAAGAAGCACACUGUAGCGAUCUUCCUCAGCAGCCAAAAGCAACAAAAACUCUCAAGUGAAGCUUCCGAAAGAUAGCGGAGCAAUUCCAUUCUGUAAUGUAUGUACAAAUUAGAUUCUUUCUCUCCUUUUUUUUCCCAAAUAAAAACAGAU